GACGAACGCUGGCGGCGUGCUUAACACAUGCAAGUCGAACGGAAAGGCCCCUUUGGGGGUACUCGAGUGGCGAACGGGUGAGUAACACGUGAGUAACCUGCCCUUGACUUCGGGAAACUUCAGGAAACUGGGGCUAAUACCGGAUAGGAAUCCUUGCUGCAUGGUGGGGGUUGGAAAGCUUCGGCGGUUUUGGAUGGACUCGCGGCUUAUCAGCUUGUUGGUGGGGUAGUGGCUUACCAAGGCUUUGACGGGUAGCCGGCCUGAGAGGGCGACCGGCCACAUUGGGACUGAGAUACGGCCCAGACUCCUACGGGAGGCAGCAGUGGGGAAUAUUGCACAAUGGGCGGAAGCCUGAUGCAGCAACGCCGCGUGCGGGAUGACGGCCUUCGGGUUGUAAACCGCUUUCAGCAGGGGCGAAGCUUGUGGUGACGGUACCUGCAGAAGAAGCACCGGCUAACUACGUG
RNAcentral lists this ribosomal RNA (464 nucleotides) under uncultured bacterium. RNAcentral describes it as "partial 16S ribosomal RNA". It matches the Rfam family "Bacterial small subunit ribosomal RNA", at positions 28 to 507 of the family's 1533-position model. The record is from RNAcentral.